CCCGCUGAACUUAAGCAUAUCAAUAAGCGGAGGAAAAGAAACUAACAAGGAUUCCCCCAGUAACGGCGAGUGAAGUGGGAAGAGCUCAAAUUUAAAAUCUUGGUGCUUCUGGUGCUGAGAAUUGUAAGCUAUAGAAGCGUUUUCGGUUGGCGCCUGGAUAUAAGUCCCUUGGAACGGGGCAUCAUAGAGGGUGAGAAUCCCGUCUUUGAUCCAGAUGCAGCCUACUAUGUGAUACGUCUUCAAAGAGUCGGUUUGUUUGGGAAUGCAGACCAAAAUGGGUGGUAAAUUCCAUCUAAAGCUAAAUAUAGGCGAGAGACCGAUAGCGAACAAGUACCGUGAGGGAAAGAUGAAAAGAACUUUGAAAAGAGAGUUAAACAGUACGUGAAAUUGUUGAAAGGGAAACGUUUGGAAUCAGUCUUGCCUGCGAGAAAUCAACCUGACUUUCAGCCGGGUGUACUUUUUCGUGAGCAGGUCAGCGUCGGUUUUGGUUGUCAGAAAAUGGUUUGUGGGAAAGUGGCUCCUCGGAGUGUUAUAGCCCAUGAUCAAUAUGAUGACCGGGACCGAGGAAUGCAGCCAGCUGGUUUAUCCGGCAGGGGACGCAGAGUGCUGGCUGGCGUCUUAUCGCGGAAAGCUUGCUGAUCGCGAUGGGAUGGUCAAUCACACAUUUUGAUGUCUCUCUUCCUGGCUUAGGUCGCUGACUUAAUGAUUCCAAAUGACCCGUCUUGAAACACGG
This 733-nucleotide ribosomal RNA is filed under the name uncultured fungus. RNAcentral's name for it is "eukaryotic LSU rRNA". It matches the Rfam family "Eukaryotic large subunit ribosomal RNA", at positions 24 to 664 of the family's 3401-position model. Lineage: Eukaryota; Fungi. The record is from RNAcentral.